UUGCCAUCAUUCAGUUGGCACUCUAGCGAGACUGCCCGGUAAUAAACCGGAGGAAGUGGGGAUGACGUCAAAUCAUCAUGCCCCUUAUGACCUGGGCUACACACGUGCUACAAUGGUUGGUACAACGAGUUGCGAGUCGGUGACGGCGAGCUAAUCUCUUAAAGCCAAUCUCAGUUCGGAUUGUAGGCUGCAACUCGCCUACAUGAAGUCGGAAUCGCUAGUAAUCGCGGAUCAGCACGCCGCGGUGAAUACGUUCCCGGGCCUU
Molecule: ribosomal RNA, 265 nt
Filed under: uncultured Streptococcus sp.
Lineage: Bacteria; Bacillati; Bacillota; Bacilli; Lactobacillales; Streptococcaceae
Description: partial 16S ribosomal RNA
Rfam family: Bacterial small subunit ribosomal RNA
Source: RNAcentral